This 400-nucleotide ribosomal RNA is filed under the name Bradyrhizobium sp. RNAcentral describes it as "bacterial SSU rRNA". It matches the Rfam family "Bacterial small subunit ribosomal RNA", at positions 154 to 588 of the family's 1533-position model. The record is from RNAcentral. Lineage: Bacteria; Pseudomonadati; Pseudomonadota; Alphaproteobacteria; Hyphomicrobiales; Nitrobacteraceae.
AAACUUGUGCUAAUACCGGAUAAGCCCUUACGGGGAAAGAUUUAUCGCCGAAAGAUCGGCCCGCGUCUGAUUAGCUAGUUGGUGAGGUAAUGGCUCACCAAGGCGACGAUCAGUAGCUGGUCUGAGAGGAUGAUCAGCCACAUUGGGACUGAGACACGGCCCAAACUCCUACGGGAGGCAGCAGUGGGGAAUAUUGGACAAUGGGGGCAACCCUGAUCCAGCCAUGCCGCGUGAGUGAUGAAGGCCCUAGGGUUGUAAAGCUCUUUUGUGCGGGAAGAUAAUGACGGUACCGCAAGAAUAAGCCCCGGCUAACUUCGUGCCAGCAGCCGCGGUAAUACGAAGGGGGCUAGCGUUGCUCGGAAUCACUGGGCGUAAAGGGUGCGUAGGCGGGUCUUUAAGU